AAAUUGAAGAGUUUGAUCAUGGCUCAGAUUGAACGCUGGCGGCAGGCCUAACACAUGCAAGUCGAACGGUAACAGGAAGCAGCUUGCUGCUUUGCUGACGAGUGGCGGACGGGUGAGUAAUGUCUGGGAAACUGCCUGAUGGAGGGGGAUAACUACUGGAAACGGUGGCUAAUACCGCAUAAUGUCGCAAGACCAAAGAGGGGGACCUUCGGGCCUCUUGCCAUCAGAUGUGCCCAGAUGGGAU
This 244-nucleotide ribosomal RNA is filed under the name Salmonella enterica. RNAcentral's name for it is "partial 16S ribosomal RNA". It matches the Rfam family "Bacterial small subunit ribosomal RNA", at positions 1 to 241 of the family's 1533-position model. Lineage: Bacteria; Pseudomonadati; Pseudomonadota; Gammaproteobacteria; Enterobacterales; Enterobacteriaceae. The record is from RNAcentral.